GACAAUUAGGUUUUAGUAUCACAUUAGUUAAAAGAGGCCCUGCGGGGGGGGAAGAAGGUGAGGGACGUUUUAACUGGAUAGCAGUACUGUCUGGGUUUAGAGACUCCACAGAAGACCCGAGUGACGGACGAGAGUCGAGUUGGACCUUCCGGUCGGGAAUCACGCUUUUUUGAAGGCAAUUCGUUGGAGUCGAAAUCGCAGACGCAAGAUAAGCAGUAGGAACAUUAUUCUUUUAUUUAUUGUCUUACUUACAUUAUUGUCUUAAUGAUGUGGAAAGGCAAAGAUAGGAGAGGUUGUGUGGAUCGAUACCUGCCACGUGGGCGAGUGGGUAACUCUGGUUAGUGUCCCUGGGGAUUCCUUCUUAACCACGGUCAGGUUAAAAAUAGUCCAGAACUUUCAUUACGUGAAAAUUCUGGAAAAAUAGUCCCAACUACCAAAGGGAAUUAAGAAGUAGGCCUACAGAUUCUCCGCAUGGCCUGAAUGAGGCCCAAGGAGCUAGGCCGCCCUGGAAUUAAACCCUUAGAAGUAGUAUGACCUGUACAAUUUUGUGCCUUUCGUUGUCUGGUCUAGGGGGUAGUACAUACGCCAAGCGUGAUUGGCUUGGUUUAAGCCAUUUCAGGGGAGGUGUCGCCUUUCAUUGUCUGGUCCAGGGGUAAUACACACGGCAAGCUUGAUCAACUUGACGGAGCCGGCUCGGGUAGGGUGUCUAAUGUAAAGGCUCGAAACACCCGACGAUCCGAGAGUGCAUUACUGAUGAUGUGUCCUGGCACAUGAUAAUGAGAGGUUUCGAUUUUCCUAUACAAGCAGCUGGCUUAGGAGCUCAGACUUUAAAUUCUGCAGACUAACCUUUGCCAGCUAAACAUAUAGAUCCACCAGCCCUACACUUAAACCUAAUCCUAAAGUCCAAAAGGGGCAUACACCCCCAUAAAUAGGCAAAUUCCAAGAGGGGUAGUCACCCCCAUAAACCCUAGGCAACUUCCAAGGGGGGCAUACACCCCCACAAACCCUAGGCAUUCCCCGAUUAACUUUUGAUAUUCUGAGAGGGGUAGGAUUCAACAAGGGCAAGUGUGGGACCUGGUUAAUGAAGGCGUGGGCCAGAUCAAAGUGGCAGGGUGAUGUGAAACAGAAUCUCAAGUGAGGAGAUCAGAAAUCACAAGAGGGCUUUUUAGCCCACUGCCCGCAUAAUUUCAACCUAACCUAUCAGUGACACGCUCUUCAUUCUCCCGGCCCCAGAAAGGCCAAUAAGAAAACCCAGAUAUUUUAUUUCACCUAUUAGGUGUUAAAAAAUUCAUAGUUAAAAGAAUGGAGAGGUUCACCAAUCAGCAGCUAAUGUACCUUUAAGGGCUGAGGUGAGCCGGUCUCCUAGCAACAGCCAGGUUUGCAGCAGGUGGACAAUUAGGUUUUAGUAUCACAUUAGUUAAAAGAGGCCCUGCGGGGGGAAGAAGGUGAGGGAUGUUUUAACUGGAUAGCUGUACUGUCUGGGUUUAGAGACUCCACAGAAGACCCGAGUGACGGACGAGAGUCGAGUUGGACCUUCCGGUCGGGAAUCACGCUUUUUUGAAGGCAAUUGGUUGGAGUCGAAAUCGCAGACGCAAGAUAAGCAGUAGGAACAUUAUUCUUUUAUUUAUUGUCUUACUUACAUUAUUGUCUUAAUGAUGUGGAAAGGCAAGGAUAGGAGAGGUUGUGUGGAUCGAUACCUGCCACGUGGGCGAGUGGGUAACUCUGGUUAGUGUCCCUGGGGAUUCCUUCUUAACCACGGUCAGGUUAAAAAUAGUCCAGAACUUUCAUUAUGUGAAAAUUCUGGAAAAAUAGUCCCAACUACUAAAGGGAAUUAAGAAGUAGGCCUACAGAUUCUCCGCAUGGCCUGAAUGAGGCCCAAGGAGCUAGGCCGCCCUGGAAUUAAACCCUUAGAAGUAGUAUGACCUGUACAAUUUUGUGCCUUUCGUUGUCUGGUCUAGGGGGUAGUACAUACGCCAAGCGUGAUUGGCUUGGUUUAAGCCAUUUCAGGGGAGGUGUCGCCUUUCAUUGUCUGGUCCAGGGGUAAUACACACGGCAAGCUUGAUCAACUUGACGGAGCCGGCUCGAGGAGGGUGUCUAAUGUAAAGGCUCGAAACACCCGACGAUCCGAGAGUGCAUUACUGAUGAUGUGUCCUGGCACAUGAUAAUGAGAGGUUUCGAUUUUCCUAUACAAGCAGCUGGCUUAGGAGCUCAGACUUUAAAUUCUGCAGACUAACCUUUGCCAGCUAAACAUAUAGAUCCACCAGCCCUACACUUAAACCUAAUCCUAAAGUCCAAAAGGGGCAUACACCCCCAUAAAUAGGCAAAUUCCAAGAGGGGUAGUCACCCCCAUAAACCCUAGGCAACUUCCAAGGGGGGCAUACACCCCCACAAACCCUAGGCAUUCCCCGAUUAAUUUUUGAUAUUCUGAGAGGGGUAGGAUUCAACAAGGGCAAGUGUGGGACCUGGUUAAUGAAGGCGUGGGCCAGAUCAAAGUGGCAGGGUGAUGUGAAACAGAAUCUCAAGUGGGGAGAUCAGAAAUCACAAGAGGGCUUUUUAGCCCACUGCCCGCAUAAUUUCAACCUAACCUAUCAGUGACACGCUCUUCAUUCUCCCGGCCCCAGAAAGGCCAAUAAGAAAACCCAGAUAUUUUGUUUCACCUAUCAGGUGUUAAAAAAUUCAUAGUUAAAAGAAGGGAGAGGUUCACCAAUCAGCAGCUAAUGUACCUUUAAGGGCUGAGGUGAGCCGGUCUCCUAGCAACAGCCAGGUUUGCAGUAGGUGGACAAUUAGGUUUUAGUAUCACAUUAGUUAAAAGAGGCCCUGCGGGGGGAAGAAGGUGAGGGAUGUUUUAACUGGAUAGCAGUACUGUCUGGGUUUAGAGACUCCACAGAAGACCCGAGUGACGGACGAGAGUCGAGUUGGACCUUCCGGUCGGGAAUCACGCUUUUUUGAAGGCAAUUGGUUGGAGUCGAAAUCGCAGACGCAAGAUAAGCAAGACUCCACAGAAGACCCGAGUGACGGACGAGAGUCGAGUUGGACCUUCCGGUCGGGAAUCACGCUUUUUUGAAGGCAAUUCGUUGGAGUCGAAAUCGCAGACGCAAGAUAAGCAUACUGUCUGGGUUUAGAGACUCCACAGAAGACCCGAGUGACGGACGAGAGUCGAGUUGGACCUUCCGGUCGGGAAUCACGCUUUUUUGAAGGCAAUUCGUUGGAGUCGAAAUCGCAGACGCAAGAUAAGCAGUAGGAACAUUAUUCUUUUAUUUAUUGUCUUACUUACAUUAUUGUCUUAAUGAUGUGGAAAGGCAAAGAUAGGAGAGGUUGUGUGGAUCGAUACCUGCCACGUGGGCGAGUGGGUAACUCUGGUUAGUGUCCCUGGGGAUUCCUUCUUAACCACGGUCAGGUUAAAAAUAGUCCAGAACUUUCAUUAUGUGAAAAUUCUGGAAAAAUAGUCCCAACUACCUAAGGGAAUUAAGAAGUAGGCCUACAGAUUCUCCGCAUGGCCUGAGUGAGGCCCAAGGAGCUAGGCCGCCCUGGAAUUAA
Hypanus sabinus (Atlantic stingray) is the source of this 3537-nucleotide long non-coding RNA. RefSeq lists it as uncharacterized. The record is from RefSeq and is a predicted model, not a curated record. Lineage: Eukaryota; Metazoa; Chordata; Chondrichthyes; Myliobatiformes; Dasyatidae. The transcript is spliced from 3 exons.